Molecule: transfer RNA, 75 nt
Filed under: Cordylochernes scorpioides
Lineage: Eukaryota; Metazoa; Arthropoda; Arachnida; Pseudoscorpiones; Chernetidae
Description: tRNA-Thr
Rfam family: tRNA
About the family: Transfer RNA (tRNA) molecules are approximately 80 nucleotides in length. Their secondary structure includes four short double-helical elements and three loops (D, anti-codon, and T loops).
Source: RNAcentral
GUCCAGAAUAGCCUAGUGGACAUGGCAUCUUCCUGGUAAGCGGAACAUUGUGGGUUCGAUUCCCAUUCCUUGACA